AGAGUUUGAUCCUGGCUCAGGACGAACGCUGGCGGCGUGCUUAACACAUGCAAGUCGAACGAUGAAGCCCCUUCGGGGGUGGAUUAGUGGCGAACGGGUGAGUAACACGUGGGCAAUCUGCCCUGCACUCUGGGACAAGCCCUGGAAACGGGGUCUAAUACCGGAUACGACACAGGGAGGCAUCUCCUCUGUGUGGAAAGCUCCGGCGGUGCAGGAUGAGCCCGCGGCCUAUCAGCUUGUUGGUGAGGUAACGGCUCACCAAGGCGACGACGGGUAGCCGGCCUGAGAGGGCGACCGGCCACACUGGGACUGAGACACGGCCCAGACUCCUACGGGAGGCAGCAGUGGGGAAUAUUGCACAAUGGGCGCAAGCCUGAUGCAGCGACGCCGCGUGAGGGAUGACGGCCUUCGGGUUGUAAACCUCUUUCAGCAGGGAAGAAGCGCAAGUGACGGUACCUGCAGAAGAAGCGCCGGCUAACUACGUG
RNAcentral lists this ribosomal RNA (485 nucleotides) under uncultured Streptomyces sp. RNAcentral's name for it is "bacterial SSU rRNA". It matches the Rfam family "Bacterial small subunit ribosomal RNA", at positions 8 to 507 of the family's 1533-position model. Lineage: Bacteria; Bacillati; Actinomycetota; Actinomycetes; Kitasatosporales; Streptomycetaceae. The record is from RNAcentral.